This 251-nucleotide ribosomal RNA is filed under the name uncultured Actinomycetales bacterium. Its description in RNAcentral is "partial 16S ribosomal RNA". It matches the Rfam family "Bacterial small subunit ribosomal RNA", at positions 552 to 802 of the family's 1533-position model. Lineage: Bacteria; Bacillati; Actinomycetota; Actinomycetes; Actinomycetales. The record is from RNAcentral.
UAUUGGGCGUAAAGAGCUCGUAGGCGGUUUGUUGCGUCGGCUGUGAAAACCUGAGGCUCAACCUCAGGCCUGCAGUCGAUACGAGCAGACUAGAGUGUUGCAGGGGAGACUGGAAUUCCUGGUGUAGCGGUGAAAUGCGCAGAUAUCAGGAGGAACACCGGUGGCGAAGGCGGGUCUCUGGGCAACAACUGACGCUGAGGAGCGAAAGCGUGGGGAGCGAACAGGAUUAGAUACCCUGGUAGUCAAGGGCG